UCAUUUUUGGUUGAUUAAUUCUAUCUGACUUUGCACCGUGGAGUGGAUUUCAAGUAGAUUUACAGUAGAAUUUCGAAUAGAGAAGUAAAAAGGGGAAAAUGAACUUCACAGAGAAAGAGGUAAGGUAAAUGUGGUUUCAAAAUCAGCCUCCAAAUGACAUAAAAUUACUAAAAUGCCACUAUUCCUCCCUCCCAAUAAUUCCACACUUCCCUCUUAUUACGAUUGUUAAAUUACUUGCAAGUUACAACUAUACCCUUACCUAAAAUAAAAAAACAAAAAUAUAAAACUAUUCCCUCUCCAGAUACUAGAAAGCCUUAAAAGAAAAACA
This 328-nucleotide long non-coding RNA is filed under the name Salvia miltiorrhiza (redroot sage). RNAcentral describes it as "long non-coding RNA (SMIL_LNC001438)". Lineage: Eukaryota; Viridiplantae; Streptophyta; Magnoliopsida; Lamiales; Lamiaceae. The record is from RNAcentral.